CUCGUGUCGUGAGAUGUUGGGUUAAGUCCCGCAACGAGCGCAACCCUUGUCAUUAGUUGCUACAUUCAGUUGGGCACUCUAAUGAGACUGCCGGUGACAAGCCGGAGGAAGGUGGGGAUGACGUCAAGUCCUCAUGGCCCUUAUAGGUGGGGCUACACACGUCAUACAAUGGCUGGUACAAAGGGUUGCCAACCCGCGAGGGGGAGCCAAUCCCAUAAAGCCAGUCGUAGUCCGGAUCGUAGUCUGCAACUCGACUACGUGAAGUCGGAAUCGCUAGUAAUCG
Molecule: ribosomal RNA, 283 nt
Filed under: uncultured bacterium
Lineage: Bacteria
Description: partial 16S ribosomal RNA
Rfam family: Bacterial small subunit ribosomal RNA
Source: RNAcentral